UCUUUCUUUGCUGGCGACCGGCGCACGGGUGAGUAACACGUAUCCAACCUGCCCUUUACUCGGGGAUAGCCUUUCGAAAGAAAGAUUAAUACCCGAUAGCAUAAUGAUUCCGCAUGGUUUCAUUAUUAAAGGAUUCCGGUAAAGGAUAGGGAUGCGUUCCAUUAGGUUGUUGGUGAGGUAACGGCCCACCAAGCCUUCGAUGGAUAGGGGUUCUGAGAGGAAGGUCCCCCACAUUGGAACUGAGACACGGUCCAA
RNAcentral lists this ribosomal RNA (255 nucleotides) under uncultured bacterium. RNAcentral's name for it is "partial 16S ribosomal RNA". It matches the Rfam family "Bacterial small subunit ribosomal RNA", at positions 78 to 334 of the family's 1533-position model. The record is from RNAcentral.